This 1488-nucleotide ribosomal RNA is filed under the name Salmonella enterica. Its description in RNAcentral is "partial 23S ribosomal RNA". It matches the Rfam family "Bacterial large subunit ribosomal RNA", at positions 711 to 2179 of the family's 2925-position model. Lineage: Bacteria; Pseudomonadati; Pseudomonadota; Gammaproteobacteria; Enterobacterales; Enterobacteriaceae. The record is from RNAcentral.
AGACCCGAAACCCGGUGAUCUAGCCAUGGGCAGGUUGAAGGUUGGGUAACACUAACUGGAGGACCGAACCGACUAAUGUUGAAAAAUUAGCGGAUGACCUGUGGCUGGGGGUGAAAGGCCAAUCAAACCGGGAGAUAGCUGGUUCUCCCCGAAAGCUAUUUAGGUAGCGCCUCGUGAAUUCAUCUCCGGGGGUAGAGCACUGUUUCGGCUAGGGGGCCAUCCCGGCUUACCAACCCGAUGCAAACUGCGAAUACCGGAGAAUGUUAUCACGGGAGACACACGGCGGGUGCUAACGUCCGUCGUGAAGAGGGAAACAACCCAGACCGCCAGCUAAGGUCCCAAAGUCAUGGUUAAGUGGGAAACGAUGUGGGAAGGCCCAGACAGCCAGGAUGUUGGCUUAGAAGCAGCCAUCAUUUAAAGAAAGCGUAAUAGCUCACUGGUCGAGUCGGCCUGCGCGGAAGAUGUAACGGGGCUAAACCAUGCACCGAAGCUGCGGCAGCGACACUCAGGUGUUGUUGGGUAGGGGAGCGUUCUGUAAGCCUGCGAAGGUGGCCUGUGAGGGUUGCUGGAGGUAUCAGAAGUGCGAAUGCUGACAUAAGUAACGAUAAAGCGGGUGAAAAGCCCGCUCGCCGGAAGACCAAGGGUUCCUGUCCAACGUUAAUCGGGGCAGGGUGAGUCGACCCCUAAGGCGAGGCCGAAAGGCGUAGUCGAUGGGAAACGGGUUAAUAUUCCCGUACUUGGUGUUACUGCGAAGGGGGGACGGAGAAGGCUAUGUUGGCCGGGCGACGGUUGUCCCGGUUUAAGCGUGUAGGUGUGUGUUCCAGGUAAAUCCGGUUCACUUUAACACUGAGGCGUGAUGACGAGGCACUACGGUGCUGAAGCAACAAAUGCCCUGCUUCCAGGAAAAGCCUCUAAGCAUCAGGUAACAUCAAAUCGUACCCCAAACCGACACAGGUGGUCAGGUAGAGAAUACCAAGGCGCUUGAGAGAACUCGGGUGAAGGAACUAGGCAAAAUGGUGCCGUAACUUCGGGAGAAGGCACGCUGACAUGUAGGUGAAGUGAUUUACUCAUGGAGCUGAAGUCAGUCGAAGAUACCAGCUGGCUGCAACUGUUUAUUAAAAACACAGCACUGUGCAAACACGAAAGUGGACGUAUACGGUGUGACGCCUGCCCGGUGCCGGAAGGUUAAUUGAUGGGGUCAGCGCAAGCGAAGCUCCUGAUCGAAGCCCCGGUAAACGGCGGCCGUAACUAUAACGGUCCUAAGGUAGCGAAAUUCCUUGUCGGGUAAGUUCCGACCUGCACGAAUGGCGUAAUGAUGGCCAGGCUGUCUCCACCCGAGACUCAGUGAAAUUGAACUCGCUGUGAAGAUGCAGUGUACCCGCGGCAAGACGGAAAGACCCCGUGAACCUUUACUAUAGCUUGACACUGAACAUUGAGCCUUGAUGUGUAGGAUAGGUGGGAGGCUUUGAAGCGUGGACGCCAGUCUGC